ACAUACGACCAUAGAUAGUAGAAAACUCGGGAUCCCGUCCGCUCUCCCAUAGAUAAACUACCAAUCGCCUGACUAGUAGUUGGGUCAGCGAAUCCCAGGUGUUGUAUGUC
This 110-nucleotide ribosomal RNA is filed under the name Neurospora tetrasperma FGSC 2509. Lineage: Eukaryota; Fungi; Ascomycota; Sordariomycetes; Sordariales; Sordariaceae. The record is from RNAcentral.